AGCACACCAGUGAGAGGUGACUCUCGGUCUGUAACUGACGAUGAGGAGGAAAGCGCGGGAGGAACUGAUCAGAUACCUUGUAGUCCACCCGUACAGUUGAGUGCUAAGGUUAGGGGCCUCCGCCCCUUAGCGCUGCAGUUACGCAUUAAGCACUCCGCUGGGGAGUACGGUCGCAAGAUGAAAUCAAAGGAAGUGACGGGGCCCGCACAAGCGGUGGCGCAUGUGGUUUAAUUAGAAGCAACGCGAAGAACCUUACCAGGUGUUGACAUCCUGUGACAACCCUAGAGAUAGGGCUUUCCCUUCGGGGACAGAGCGACAGGUGGUGCAUGGUUGUCGUCAGCUCGUGUCGUGAGAUGUUGGUUAAGUCCCGCAACGAGCGCAACCCUUGAUCUUAGUUGCCAGCAUUCAGUUGGGCACUCUAAGGUGACUGCCGGUGACAAACCGGAGGAAGGUGGGGAUGACGUCAAAUCAUCAUGCCCCUUAUGACCUGGGCUACACACGUGCUACAAUGGACAGAACAAAGGGCUGCGAGACCGCAAGGUUUAGCCAAUCCCACAAAUCUGUUCUCAGUUCGGAUCGCAGUCUGCAACUCGACUGCGUGAAGCUGGAAUCGCUAGUAAUCGCGGAUCAGCAUGCCGCGGUGAAUACGUUCCCGGGCCUUGUACACACCGCCCGUCACACCACGAGAGUUUGCAACACCCGAAGUCGGUGAGGUAACCUUUAUGGAGCCAGCCGCUGAUCGUGCCCCGG
Molecule: ribosomal RNA, 750 nt
Filed under: Bacillus xiamenensis
Lineage: Bacteria; Bacillati; Bacillota; Bacilli; Caryophanales; Bacillaceae
Description: bacterial SSU rRNA
Rfam family: Bacterial small subunit ribosomal RNA
Source: RNAcentral